GGAGGGCCAGGGCUGCUAUGAAUAAGUGUUCAUUCAGCCUUCCCCUCUUUUAGGCUGUGCAGAACCUUCACCUCCUUGUCUGAGAGGAGCCCAGGGCUGGGUGAGAGGUAACCUUUCUUUCUUUCUCUUCAGAAUGACACCUCUGGCGAGUACAAGAAGACUCUGCUGAAGCUGUGUGGGGGAGAUGAUGAUGCUGCUGGCCAGUUCUUCCCGGAGGCAGCGCAGGUGGCCUAUCAGAUGUGGGAACUUAGUGCAGUGGCCCGAGUAGAGCUGAAGGGAACUGUGCGCCCAGCCAAUGACUUCAACCCUGAUGCAGAUGCCAAAGCGCUGCGGAAAGCCAUGAAGGGACUCGGGACUGACGAAGACACAAUCAUCGAUAUCAUCACGCACCGCAGCAAUGCCCAGCGGCAGCAGAUCCGGCAGACCUUCAAGUCUCACUUUGGCCGGGACUUAAUGACUGACCUGAAGUCUGAGAUCUCUGGAGACC
Molecule: small RNA, 487 nt
Filed under: Pan troglodytes (chimpanzee)
Lineage: Eukaryota; Metazoa; Chordata; Mammalia; Primates; Hominidae
Description: retained intron
Source: RNAcentral